CCUACGGGUGGCAGCAGUGAGGAAUAUUGGUCAAUGGACGAGAGUCUGAACCAGCCAAGUAGCGUGAAGGAUGACUGCCCUAUGGGUUGUAAACUUCUUUUAUAUGGGAAUAAAACGUUCCACGUGUGGGAUUUUGUAUGUACCAUAUGAAUAAGGAUCGGCUAACUCCGUGCCAGCAGCCGCGGUAAUACGGAGGAUCCGAGCGUUAUCCGGAUUUAUUGGGUUUAAAGGGAGCGUAGGUGGAUUGUUAAGUCAGUUGUGAAAGUUUGCGGCUCAACCGUAAAAUUGCAGUUGAAACUGGCAGUCUUGAGUACAGUAGAGGUGGGCGGAAUGCGUGGUGUAGCGGUGAAAUGCUUAGAUAUCACGAAGAACUCCGAUUGCGAAGGCAGUUCACUGGACUGCAACUGACACUGAGGCACGAAAGUGUGGGUAUCAAACAGGAUUAGAUACCCUUGUAGUC
RNAcentral lists this ribosomal RNA (460 nucleotides) under uncultured bacterium. Its description in RNAcentral is "partial 16S ribosomal RNA". It matches the Rfam family "Bacterial small subunit ribosomal RNA", at positions 338 to 795 of the family's 1533-position model. The record is from RNAcentral.